GGGGCGGGCGCGCGUGCGCGCGCUCCUGGGAUUCCGGGUGUGGAGGUUGCCGUCACCACGCCGCUCCUGCCACCUCCUAAUUACCUGAGCGUCUUUCUCUGCAGUUGGGUCGGCCUCAUCUUCUCCUCACCCAUUUGUAAGGCGAAGACCUGGAGGCUCAGUUCAGUCGCUCAGUCGUGUCCGACGAAGACCUGGAGGAAGUAAUGCUUUUUACAAAUAAAGGAGAGAGGAGCCCUGAGUAUGAGCGAAGAACCAAGUCCCUGGGGGAAUUUUCUGAAACAUUAACGGAAAGACAGUCUGAUGACAAAGAUUCCUGAUGAAGAAAAGGAACACUGUCCAUAAAAUAUGCCUUGAGCAAAGACAAAUGUUUCCAAAGAAAUCUCUCACUUGGGAUCCUGUGGAAGAACUAAUGAAUCGGAACCUUUGGGAACUGGGCCAGGUCCUACAUCUUUAACAACCUCUUGGGAAGUUCCUUAUUUCAAGAAUAAAACCUGUGGUUGAUUCCUC
This is a long non-coding RNA of Cervus elaphus (red deer), 507 nucleotides long. RefSeq lists it as uncharacterized. The transcript has 3 exons. The record is from RefSeq and is a predicted model, not a curated record. Lineage: Eukaryota; Metazoa; Chordata; Mammalia; Artiodactyla; Cervidae.